AUUGGUUAUGGCAAAGAGCAAGAGGGCAGCAGGAACUCGAAGCUGGCUUGACCCACUCACUGAGGGAGGGUCUUGGGAAAACCAGACCAACUGAGAGUCAUCAAAAGUUGGCAUUCUCAAUUCUCAAUCCAAGAAAUAGAACUCACAGCUGCAAGGAGGGCCCCCACAUACUUCACACACCAAACUAGGGUGUGAAGUGGGAGUUGGCAGGAGACCCA
This 218-nucleotide long non-coding RNA is filed under the name Fukomys damarensis (Damara mole-rat). RNAcentral's name for it is "lncRNA (ENSFDAG00000022382.1)". Lineage: Eukaryota; Metazoa; Chordata; Mammalia; Rodentia; Bathyergidae. The record is from RNAcentral.